UUCCCUACGGGAGGCAGCAGUGAGGAAUAUUGGUCAAUGGGCGCGAGCCUGAACCAGCCAAGUCGCGUGAGGGAUGACGGUCCUACGGAUUGUAAACCUCUUUUGCCAGGGAGCAAGCGUGCGUUCGUGAACGCGCGUCGAGAGUACCCGGAGAAAAAGCAUCGGCUAACUCCGUGCCAGCAGCCGCGGAAAUACGGAGGAUGCGCGCGUUAUCCGGUUUUAUUGGGUUUAAAGGGUGCGCAGGCGGUCUUGCAAGACUGGAGUGAA
This 267-nucleotide ribosomal RNA is filed under the name uncultured bacterium. RNAcentral's name for it is "partial 16S ribosomal RNA". It matches the Rfam family "Bacterial small subunit ribosomal RNA", at positions 335 to 598 of the family's 1533-position model. The record is from RNAcentral.